This 745-nucleotide ribosomal RNA is filed under the name uncultured bacterium. RNAcentral describes it as "bacterial SSU rRNA". It matches the Rfam family "Bacterial small subunit ribosomal RNA", at positions 33 to 773 of the family's 1533-position model. The record is from RNAcentral.
ACGCUGGCGGCAGGCCUAACACAUGCAAGUCGAGCGGUAGAGAGAAGCUUGCUUCUCUUGAGAGCGGCGGACGGGUGAGUAAUGCCUAGGAAUCUGCCUGGUAGUGGGGGAUAACGUUCGGAAACGGACGCUAAUACCGCAUACGUCCUACGGGAGAAAGCAGGGGACCUUCGGGCCUUGCGCUAUCAGAUGAGCCUAGGUCGGAUUAGCUAGUUGGUGAGGUAAUGGCUCACCAAGGCGACGAUCCGUAACUGGUCUGAGAGGAUGAUCAGUCACACUGGAACUGAGACACGGUCCAGACUCCUACGGGAGGCAGCAGUGGGGAAUAUUGGACAAUGGGCGAAAGCCUGAUCCAGCCAUGCCGCGUGUGUGAAGAAGGUCUUCGGAUUGUAAAGCACUUUAAGUUGGGAGGAAGGGCAUUAACCUAAUACGUUAGUGUUUUGACGUUACCGACAGAAUAAGCACCGGCUAACUCUGUGCCAGCAGCCGCGGUAAUACAGAGGGUGCAAGCGUUAAUCGGAAUUACUGGGCGUAAAGCGCGCGUAGGUGGUUUGUUAAGUUGGAUGUGAGAUCCCCGGGCUCAACCUGGGAACUGCAUUCAAAACUGACUGACUAGAGUAUGGUAGAGGGUGGUGGAAUUUCCUGUGUAGCGGUGAAAUGCGUAGAUAUAGGAAGGAACACCAGUGGCGAAGGCGACCACCUGGACUAAUACUGACACUGAGGUGCGAAAGCGUGGGGAGCAAAC